This 429-nucleotide ribosomal RNA is filed under the name Chloroflexota bacterium. RNAcentral's name for it is "Chloroflexi bacterium partial 16S ribosomal RNA". It matches the Rfam family "Bacterial small subunit ribosomal RNA", at positions 355 to 776 of the family's 1533-position model. The record is from RNAcentral. Lineage: Bacteria; Bacillati; Chloroflexota.
UGGGGAAUAUUGCACAAUGGGCGCAAGCCUGAUGCAGCCAUGCCGCGUGUGUGAAGAAGGCCUUCGGGUUGUAAAGCACUUUCAGCGGGGAGGAAGGCGAUAAGGUUAAUAACCUUGUCGAUUGACGUUACCCGCAGAAGAAGCACCGGCUAACUCCGUGCCAGCAGCCGCGGUAAUACGGAGGGUGCAAGCGUUAAUCGGAAUUACUGGGCGUAAAGCGCACGCAGGCGGUCUGUCAAGUCGGAUGUGAAAUCCCCGGGCUAAACCUGGGAACUGCAUUCGAAACUGGCAGGCUAGAGUCUUGUAGAGGGGGGUAGAAUUCCAGGUGUAGCGGUGAAAUGCGUAGAGAUCUGGAGGAAUACCGGUGGCGAAGGCGGCCCCCUGGACAAAGACUGACGCUCAGGUGCGAAAGCGUGGGGAGCAAACAGG